Molecule: ribosomal RNA, 169 nt
Filed under: Escherichia coli
Lineage: Bacteria; Pseudomonadati; Pseudomonadota; Gammaproteobacteria; Enterobacterales; Enterobacteriaceae
Also listed under: 1 other name
Description: partial 23S ribosomal RNA
Rfam family: Bacterial large subunit ribosomal RNA
Source: RNAcentral
GGGUUGUGAGGUUAAGCGACUAAGCGUACACGGUGGAUGCCCUGGCAGUCAGAGGCGAUGAAGGACGUGCUAAUCUGCGAUAAGCGUCGGUAAGGUGAUAUGAACCGUUAUAACCGGCGAUUUCCGAAUGGGGAAACCCAGUGUGAUUCGUCACACUAUCAUUAACUGA